Molecule: long non-coding RNA, 2025 nt
Organism: Sapajus apella (tufted capuchin)
Lineage: Eukaryota; Metazoa; Chordata; Mammalia; Primates; Cebidae
Exons: 3
Source: RefSeq, a predicted model, not a curated record
GGGGUGGAUCAGGCAGGAAACAAUGACAUCAACAGUGGCUUAGCAUACAGGUGUGGAUCAGGAUUAUUGUCAAUCAUAAGAAAGCAGUUUGGGAAUGCUAUUCUGAAUGAGUUAUGUGGCUCAGAAUCUGUCUUAGGAAAACAAGCUUGUAUAGGAGAGCACAAGGAUAAAAUGCUUGUUCUUUACAGAGAAGAACUUGUUUAGACUUCCUAUGAUUUUACCACAGUGACUGAAACCUAACAUAUAUGAGUUCUUAUAUUUAGUGCAGUUGUCCAUUGAACAACAUGGGUGUGAACUGUAUUGGUCCAUUUAUACUUAGAUUAUUUUUAAACCAAACAUGAAUUGAAAAUACAAUGUUAAUGGGAUGUGCAACCUGCAUAUAUGGAGGGCUGACUUUUCCUAUAGGUGAGUUCCACAGGAAUAUGAGUAUGUGCUGAUUUUGGUAUAUGCAGGGGUGUUCAGUCAGUGCCCUGCUUAUACUGAGGGACAACUGUAUACUGUAUUUAUUUUGUGGGUUUGACCUAUAAUAGUAGGGAGUAUGAUUCCAGAUAGUUUAACAGAUUUUUUAAAAAUUGUGAACCCUAGUGAUCAAUAUUUGUCGGAUAGAUCUUUUCUUGAUAGGCCAUGUGAUUAGUAGAAGGAAAUGAUAAUACCCUAAUUUAAUGAAAUAUCUGAAUUGAAAGGAGAACAUGUUACUAUUUCUAGCGUACAUGGGUAGGAGUAGAAUAAAGUGCACAGUUCCAGGUGGUUUUCCUUCUCUUCUAAGCACAUUGAGGCUUGUCCUCUAACUGUUGUAUAAGAGACAUUAAAUGUGGUAAUUAUGCUAUUGAGGAAUUUAAAAUUUUUGUUUUGGUUGACAUAGUAAAACUUUAGCUGGGAUUAUAAGAAAUAGUCCUAGACAGUUUUUAUCUCAAACAGAUUAUUUGAACAAGACUUGUUUCAUAGAGAUUUUUUUUUUUUAAGUAUGGAGUUUGGUUUCAUUCAGUGCUUGCUUAGAGUAUUUUUUGAGCAUCUGAUAUGUGCCAGAUACUUCUAGGUACUUUAUGCCUUUUAUUUUAUUUAAUCUUCAUGGGAGCUUUAAAAGAAAGGUAUUGGUAUUUUCAUUUUUAAAAGGUGAGGACAUUGAGGCUUUCUUUACCAAACAGAGUAACCACCCCUCCCAUCUUCCUUAAAAAAUAUACCAAUUGAUGAUCACAACUUACUGAUCAUUGUGUCCAGUCCAUUAUACUCUAGUAUGCUUUCAUACUUCUGCUUCAAUCAUAUGAGUUGUACCCUUACCAAGAGCCAAUUUUAUUGGUUCCCAAACUUCUUAAUAAUUACUUAUUUAAAAUUAAGCAGAUGGAUUCAUAAAGAAGAUUAUCUUAUGAAAGCUGAGUGGAAUGUUUGGAAAGACCCAAAGACAAGGAGAUACAAAACUUGCUAUUGAAUUAGGUGUAAAUAAGACAACAUUAAUAAAUUGGAGAAAAAUCUGUAUGACUCUGAAUUUAUUUCUUUGCAAAUACAUUGGUUUUUGUUACACUUUAAAGUUGAGGUCCCCAACCUUUUUGGCACCAGGGAUUGAUUUUGUGGAAGAAAUUUUUCUGUGGAUGGUGGGGGUUGCAGGGGAUAGUUUUGGGAUGAAACUAUUCCACCUCAGAUCAUCAGGCAUUAGAUUCUCAUAAGGAGCACGCCAUCUGGAUCCCUUGCAUAGUUCACAACAGGGUUCAUGGCGCCUGUGAAAAUCUAAUGUGACCUGAUCUGGCAGGAGGCGGAGCUCAGGCCGUAAUGGUUCCUACCCACUGCUCACCCCCUGCUGUGCAGCCUGGUUCCUAAUAGGCCACAGAGUAGUAGCCAUCCGUGGCCCAGGGGUUGUGGACCCCUGCUUUAAAGAAACAAGGUAAGUACCGUGGAGAAUGUGUUAUAAGUAUGGCUCAGGCAAGAAAGGCAAAGUGGAAAACUAAUCCAAGGACCCAUACUCAGAAAAGCGUUUUCUUUGUUUUUUGUUUUUCUGAGACAGAGUCUUGCUGUGUCAGCCAAGCUGGUAGG